AAUGAACGCUGGCGGCGCGCCUAAUACAUGCAAGUCGAGCGAGAAGACGUAGGCAAUACGUUUGUAAAGCGGCGAACGGGUGAGGAAUACAUGGGUAACCUACCCUCGAGUGGGAAUAACUAGCCGAAAGGUUAGCUAAUACCGCGUACGCUUCUUGGACUUCGGUUCAGGGAGGAAAGCGAUGCCGAGGGUAUCGGCGCUCUUGGAUGGGCUCAUGUCCUAUCAGCUUGUGGUGAGGUAACGGCUCGACCAAGGCUUCGACGGGUAGCUGGUCUGAGGAGGACGAUCAGCCACACUGGCACUGCGACACGGGCCAGACUCCUACGGGAGGC
Molecule: ribosomal RNA, 332 nt
Filed under: uncultured bacterium
Lineage: Bacteria
Description: bacterial SSU rRNA
Rfam family: Bacterial small subunit ribosomal RNA
Source: RNAcentral